This 1605-nucleotide long non-coding RNA is filed under the name Homo sapiens (human). RNAcentral's name for it is "non-protein coding lnc-AKT1-1:8". The record is from RNAcentral. Lineage: Eukaryota; Metazoa; Chordata; Mammalia; Primates; Hominidae.
UAAAAGUUCUGGAGAUGGAUGGUGGUGAUGGGUGGUGAUGAUGGACAUUGGAGAUGGGCAAUGGACAUGGAUGGUGGUGAUGGAUGGUAUAAAUGGAUAUUGGAUGUGGACAGCGGACGUGGACAGUGGAGAUAGAGGGUGGUGAUGGCUGGUGGACAUGGACAGUGAAGAUAGAGAGUAGUGAUGGAUGGUGGAGAUAGAGGGCGGUGAUGGACAGUGGAGAUAGAGGGUGGUGAUGGACAGUGGAGAUAGAGGGUGGUGAUGGACAGUGGACAUGGACAGUGGAGAUAGAGGGUGGUGAUGGACAGUGGAGAUAGAGGGUGGUGAUGGACAGUGGACAUGGAUAGUGGAGACAGAGGGUAGUGAUGGACAGUGGAGAUAGAGGGUGGUGAUGGACAGUGGACAUGGACAGUGGAGAUAAAGGGUGGUGAUGGACAGUGGAGAUAGAGGGUGGUGAUGGACAGUGGAGAUAGAGGGUGGUGAUGGACAGUGGAGAUAGAGGGUGGUGAUGAACAGUGGAGAUAGAGGGUAGUGAUGGACAGUGGACAUGGACAGUGGAGAUAGAGGGUGGUGAUGGAUGGUGGACAUGGACAGUGGAGAUAGAGGGUGGUGAUAGACGGUGGACAUGGACAGUGGACAUGGACGGUGGGGACAGAGGGUGGUGAUGGACGGUGGACACAGACGGUGGAGAUAGAGGGUGGUGAUGGACGGUGGACACGGACAGUGGAGAUAGAGGGUGGUGAUGGACAGUGGAGAUAGAGGGUGGUGAUGGUCAGUGGAGAUAGAGGGUGGUGAUGGACGGUGGAGAUAGAGGGUGGUGAUGGACAGUGGACAUGGACAGUGGAGACAGAGGGGGUGAUGGACAAUGGACAUGGACAGUGGAGAUACAGGGUGGUGAUGGACGGUGGACAUGGACAGUGGAGAUAGAGGGUGGUGAUGGACAGUGGACAUGGACAGUGGAGAUAGAGGGUAGUGAUAGACGGUGGACAUGGAUAGUGGAGAUAGAGGGUGGUGAUGGACGGUGGACAUGGACAGUGGAGAUAGAGGGUGGUGAUGGACGGUGGACAUGGACAGUGGAGAUAGAGGGUGGUGAUGGAUGGUGGACAUGGACAGUGGAGACAGAGGGUGGUGAUGGACGGUGGAGAUAGAGGGUAGUGAUGGACGGUGGACAUGGACAGUGGAGACGGAGGGUAGUGAUGGAUGGUGGACAUGGACAGUGGAGACAGAGGGUAGUGACGGACGGUGGACAUGGACAGUGGAGACAGAGGGUAGUGAUGGAUGGUGGACAUGGGCAGUGGAGGUGGAGGGUAGUGAUGGACGGUGGACGUGGACAGUGGAGAUGGAGGGUAGUGAUGUACAGUGGACAUGGACAGUGGAGAUAGAGAGUGGUGAUGGACAGUGGAGAUAGAAGGUGGUGAUGGACAGUGGAGAUAGAAGGUGGUGAUGGACAGUGGACAUGGACGCUGGAGAUAGAGGGUGGUGAUGGACAGUGGAGAUAGAGGGUGGUGAUGGAUGGUGGACAUGGACAGUGGAGAUAGAGGGUGGUGAUGGAUGGUGGACAUGGAUAGUGGAGUUGAAGGGUGGAGAUGGAGGGUGGUGAUGGAU